Condylostylus longicornis is the source of this 581-nucleotide long non-coding RNA. RefSeq lists it as uncharacterized. The transcript is spliced from 3 exons. The record is from RefSeq and is a predicted model, not a curated record. NCBI's taxonomy places the organism in Eukaryota, Metazoa, Arthropoda, Insecta, Diptera, Dolichopodidae.
UGUACCAAACGUAACAUGGUUGUCAUAUUUUAUUCGAAUGGAUGGAAAAACAGCGGUCCAAUCCAGCUAUAGAUAUGUACAUAUGAAUAUACAUACAUACAUAUGUAUAUUAUAGAAAAAAAUUACACUAAGUUGAGAAUUAAAAUAUUAGACCAACAUAACAAAACAGCGUACCAAACCGAACUAAAUUUUUAUUAUUGAAAAAAUUUUUCCUAUAGUUUUUUAAAUGAUGGUUUUUGUGUUAGCAAAGUAGUAAAAAAUAGUAAGCAGAAAAUAAUAAUAGUAAGAAAAAAAUAAAAUGAAAAAGAAAUAUACAAAAUGAGUGAAGUAAAAAAAAAGCGAAUAAGAAAACAAAAAAAUUAUACAGAAAUCAAAGAUUUAAGUGAUUUAUCAGAUUUUAACAAUUUCACAGCGCUAUAAUGGAACUCGAACUAACAAAAAUGGAACUAUCAUAAAAUAACUAUCAUAAGCUGACUCUAGUUGGACAUUUUUUUAAAUUGAUUAGAAUUUUUUCUGUAGGAUUUUAUAAAAAUUUCAAUCGGUAACAAAUAAUAAAAUAUCACUUAAUUUGUUUGUGAAUG